RNAcentral lists this long non-coding RNA (1220 nucleotides) under Callithrix jacchus (white-tufted-ear marmoset). RNAcentral's name for it is "lncRNA (ENSCJAG00000075549.1)". Lineage: Eukaryota; Metazoa; Chordata; Mammalia; Primates; Cebidae. The record is from RNAcentral.
AAAAGAACGCAAUCGUAUUUCAAAUGAAUAAUCACACUGAAAAGGGGGAAGAGAAAUCCAAAUAGUUUAUACAUAUGCAUCAGACCAUAUUCCAUUAGACUUAGGUAGGGUGUGAGUCGGGGAGGACUUAAAUACUAAACCCUUUUUACUGGCUUUGUUUUUGUAGCAGCAUGGACGCAGAAGAAUUCUGAAAUGAUUUUAGAUAUUUCACAGUAUUGAGCAAAUCAGUAAAUACAUCGAUGUUGUUGUGAGCCAGGGUUCUCACUGUGGAGAAAAAAAGUUGUAAAUAUAGAAAGAGAGAAGACAUGGAUGUAAGAAGAAUGGAUUGCAAUUGGAGGCUGCCAUGCUAUGAAGAAAUCUUGGUAGCAGUGGCCACACCUAACAGCCACACCUUGCUUUUGAAUGGAAUAUUCUAACUAGGCAGAGCAAGGGAUCCUUAGAAUGUUUCCAGGGCAGAGGCCUUAGUUUUGCAGAGAAAAUAUGCAAGAUAAGCCUGGAAUUUCUUUUUAAAAUUGAGGUGAAAUUCACAUAAUAAAACCAGUUAUGUUAAAGUGUAUAAUCCUGUGGCAUUUAGUACAUUCCCAAGGUGUGUAAGCACCUCUUCUAUUUAGUGAGAGCCUGAAAUGUCUUGUUAUUCCAGGAUGUAAGGAAGUGCACAAAACAUACCAGGGCCAUGUCAUGAGGACAGAGGAACCAGACUGGAGAGGCUUUCCCUGCCCAUGUCUGGUACAGCUUGAACAUCAAAAUAAUUAUUGGUAGUAACAAAUUAUAAACCAUUGGAAAAAAAAGUAUAUAGAAUCUAUUCUAUAUAUUAAAAAGCAUAGAAAUAAAUAAAUGUAUGAAAAGGAUGGCUCUUUUUACAGUAGAAUACUGUUAUAAACAGAAUCGUGUCCUCCUAAAAUUCAUAUGUUAAAGCUGUAACCCCUAAUGUGACUAUAUUUGGAGACAGAGCCUUUAAGGAGGAAAGUAAGGGUUAAAUGGAGUCAUUAGGGUAGGGCCCAAACCCACUAAAAAUAGUAACCUCAAAGGAAGAAGACUCACCUGGGGCAUAUACAGAGAAAGACCAGUGAGGACACAGCAAAAAAGCCGUCAUCCACAAAACUGAAGAGAGAGGUUUAAGAAAAACCUACCCUGCUGGCAUCUUGAUCUUGGAUGUCCAGCCUCUGAACUGAGAGAAAUAAAUGUCUGAUGCUGAAACCAUCCAGUAUGUGGUAUUUUGU